RNAcentral lists this ribosomal RNA (252 nucleotides) under uncultured bacterium. RNAcentral describes it as "partial 16S ribosomal RNA". It matches the Rfam family "Bacterial small subunit ribosomal RNA", at positions 524 to 776 of the family's 1533-position model. The record is from RNAcentral.
UACGGGGGGGCAAGCGUUGUUCGGAAUUACUGGGCGUAAAGGGCUCGUAGGCGGCCAACUAAGUCCGACGUGAAAUCCCCAGGCUUAACCUGGGAACUGCGUCGGAUACUGGAUGGCUUGAAUCCGGGAGAGGGAUGCGGAAUUCCAGGUGUAGCGGUGAAAUGCGUAGAUAUCUGGAGGAACACCGGUGGCGAAGGCGGCAUCCUGGACCGGCAUUGACGCUGAACAGCGAAAGCCAGGGGAGCAAACGGG